AUUGAACGCUGGCGGCAGGCCUAACACAUGCAAGUCGAGCGGAUGAAGGGAGCUUGCUCCUGGAUUCAGCGGCGGACGGGUGAGUAAUGCCUAGGAAUCUGCCUGGUAGUGGGGGAUAACGUCCGGAAACGGGCGCUAAUACCGCAUACGUUCUGAGGGAGAAAGUGGGGGAUCUUCGGACCUCACGCUAUCAGAUGAGCCUAGGUCGGAUUAGCUAGUUGGUGGGGUAAAGGCCUACCAAGGCGACGAUCCGUAACUGGUCUGAGAGGAUGAUCAGUCACACUGGAACUGAGACACGGUCCAGACUCCUACGGGAGGCAGCAGUGGGGAAUAUUGGACAAUGGGCGAAAGCCUGAUCCAGCCAUGCCGCGUGUGUGAAGAAGGUCUUCGGAUUGUAAAGCACUUUAAGUUGGGAGGAAGAGCAGUAAGUUAAUACCUUGCUGUUUUGACGUUACCAACAGAAUAAGCACCGGCUAACUUCGUG
RNAcentral lists this ribosomal RNA (484 nucleotides) under uncultured bacterium. Its description in RNAcentral is "partial 16S ribosomal RNA". It matches the Rfam family "Bacterial small subunit ribosomal RNA", at positions 30 to 507 of the family's 1533-position model. The record is from RNAcentral.